Molecule: ribosomal RNA, 505 nt
Filed under: uncultured bacterium
Lineage: Bacteria
Description: partial 16S ribosomal RNA
Rfam family: Bacterial small subunit ribosomal RNA
Source: RNAcentral
GACGAACGCUGGCGGCGUGCCUAAUACAUGCAAGUAGAACGCACAGUUUAUACCGUAGCUUGCUACACCAUAGACUGUGAGUUGCGAACGGGUGAGUAACGCGUAGGUAACCUGCCUGGUAGCGGGGGAUAACUAUUGGAAACGAUAGCUAAUACCGCAUAAUAUUGAUUAUUGCAUGAUAAUUAAUUGAAAGGUGCAAUUGCACCACUACCAGAUGGACCUGCGUUGUAUUAGCUAGUAGGUGAGGUAACGGCUCACCUAGGCGACGAUACAUAGCCGACCUGAGAGGGUGAUCAGCCACACUGGGACUGAGACACGGCCCAGACUCCUACGGGAGGCAGCAGUAGGGAAUCUUCGGCAAUGGACGAAAGUCUGACCGAGCAACGCCGCGUGAGUGAAGAAGGUUUUCGGAUCGUAAAGCUCUGUUGUAAGAGAAGAACGGGUGUGAGAGUGGAAAGUUCACACUGUGACGGUAUCUGACCAGAAAGGGACGGCUAACUACGUG